Molecule: ribosomal RNA, 1784 nt
Filed under: Triticum aestivum (bread wheat)
Lineage: Eukaryota; Viridiplantae; Streptophyta; Magnoliopsida; Poales; Poaceae
Description: partial small subunit ribosomal RNA
Source: RNAcentral
GAGAAAACUUAAUCUCAAUCGCAAUGCAGAACAUGUUAUAGGAAUUGCUAGAGAGCAAAUACGAUGAACAUGUCCCAUUUUCACAGAGUAUAUCUGAAAUCAUCAUUUACAUAUAUUGUAAAUGUGAUAUGGAGAUAUCUGACGGUCUCCAAUGCACAGCCUGUGGCCUGAUUUGAUGGUCAAUGCAAAUACAUAGCCACUUGUGCGGGGUUAGUGCAUAACCAGAGGGCUACAAUGAAAAAACCUUCAAAGAGAUAAGGUUCCCAUCGUUGUCCUGUGUGUGGCCUGUAAUUAGUACACGAAUCAAUCGAUUCGGUUAGCUUUACACAGGAGCCAUCGCCGCCGCUUCCGGGAGAUCCAGCCAUUUGCCUCGCGCCGGAGUUCGUCGGCGUACGCUGAACGACGCCACGGGCACCGCGCCGCGUGCCGUGGAGGUCCGCGUCAACCUAGGCCGAGGGCCAUGGCUACGCGAGGAGGACCGGGCCGAGGCCGUACUCGACGUCCCGCUCCGCGUAGCCGCGCACCAGCCGGCCGGAGGAAGGAGCGCAGGUCGAGGGUCGCCACCGCCGUAGUCUGGCGGUGGAAACGACACCGUUCGCGCGCUGGGCCUCGCCGCGCCGGAGGAGGCCUGUGCCAGGUUCGGGCCUGGCCGACCGUCGGGGGCGAGCUGCACAAUCAGCUGAAGGGAGAGCCCGCUCCAUCUUCGCUACGGGCAGGACCGUGGCUGCAGGAACUCCACGCGGAUGCCGGGAGCCGCGUCGGGCGCUGGCUGCCUCGCCUCCAUCGCCCGUCUUCGUCGUCGCCAGGACGUAGAAGAUGCGGGUGCGCCGCUGUCGAGGGUCCGCUGUGGGCUCCGCGCGCCGGGAGGUCGAGGCCGGGUUGUUCCCCGCUAUAGGCGCCGAGUCUCCGGUCGGGAGGCGCUUGCCACGCCGCCGUGCCUUGCGUAGCAGGCCGGGUCGCAGAUGCGCCGCGGUCGGCCGUGCCGGAGAGGGCCGCUUAUGCGGCCACUGUGGACGGCGUCUGGGAGAAGGGGAAGGAGAGGGUGAGACCAAACCAUGCCCUGGAGGACGCUGCGGUCGAGCGCCGGCACCUGGGCUCCAUCGCCUCGUCACCGGAAGAUGUCUCGCCGCGAGCGCCCAAUGGAACGAUUCCGGUUCCUGCUUCCGCUUCCGGUUGCAUCGCCUGUAAGCCAUCGGCGACGAAAGUAACAUCCGUAACUGCCGGGAUGGCCUAAUCUCUCGUGGCCUUCUGCUCUCGCCAGAGCGUGCUGAUAACGUGUUUUGAAUGAAUCAUGUCCCUUCUUUAUUACUCCCUCCGUUCCUAAAUAUUUGUCUUUCUAGACAUUUCAAAUGAUUACUACAUACGCCGUAGAUGUAUUUUAGAGUGUAGAUUCACUUAUUUUGCUCCGUAUUAGUCACUUGUUGAAAUGCCUAGAAAGAUAAGUAUUUAGGAAUGAAGGGAAUAGAUGACAUCUAUUUAUACAAGAAAAAGGACACCACUGGAAAAUUAGAUUACAUCUAUUUAUACAAGGGAAAGGACAUCACUGGAAAAGGUGUCUGUUAAAGGAGGUGCCUGUUCAGCGGGAACCGAUGCGGCAGUUUUACAACGGCCUGCGGUUAAUACAAGCAGGGAUUAAUCCCAUAAUUAACACAUGAUUAAUUAAUUCUAACACAUUCAAACACGUCCCGCAUUGGAUGGCAAUAAACAUUCGGAUGUAUUGGUCCAGACAUUUCCGGGCAAUGUUGGAGAUGUCCUAAACACUUAUAUUUAACUAGAUAACACCC